Non-coding RNA from Stegodyphus mimosarum, 73 nucleotides. The record is from Rfam. NCBI's taxonomy places the organism in Eukaryota, Metazoa, Arthropoda, Arachnida, Araneae, Eresidae.
GCCUUCGUAGUGUAAAGGUUAACACGCUCGGCGCGUAUCCGAGAGGUCCAAGGUUCGAGUCCCAGCGAGGGCA